Molecule: long non-coding RNA, 666 nt
Organism: Nerophis lumbriciformis (worm pipefish)
Lineage: Eukaryota; Metazoa; Chordata; Actinopteri; Syngnathiformes; Syngnathidae
Source: RefSeq, a predicted model, not a curated record
CUGGGAUCAGCACUAUAUCCUUCAGCACUGCGACAUGAACAUGCAAAGGUUUACAGUGAAGAAUGACUCAUAAUCCCCGCGAAGAAAAGGGGGAUCGAAUCAAGCGCAGACCAAGGCCUUUUGGUGUCAAUUCGCCUCACGACGGUUGAUUUUUUUGUCUUUAUCACUGAUUUCUACUCACUGUGUCACGGCGCGCAGUCGAACCCACGUUUCCUCGGUAGCUAGAGCUGCCGGCACCUCCACUGGCAGCGCGCUCAGACACGCCCCUGCUCGUGCUGAGCGCAGCACGCCCACACAGCAACAAGCCUGCAGACAAUCACUAAUCUGCGCACCUGGACCUGAUGAGAGGGAGUGGCAUAAAGACCAGUGGACCCGAGGAACCUUUGCCAGAAUGUCACUCAUCUUUCCAUGACUUCCCUGUCAUCCGUGAUCGUGUUUUGCCUCUUGACAUUCAUCCGGAUUCCUGACUGCCUUCCUCGAUCCCCUGCUCGGACACAGCCUACGCUUCCUCGCUCCUACCCUCGACCCCUUGCCUGUUUACGGACUGUCUCCCGACUCCUAGGAUGUUCAUAUAUUCCCAUUUAGAUGAAACAUUUCUCAUAAUACUCGAGAAGAAAUGGGAUGGAAUACUUAUGUACAUGUGAUUAUGUUUUUUAUUUCUAAUAA